UCAACUGUAGUGGGUGACGAAAAGCUAACAUCUAGAGAGGACAGCGCAUGACUGUUAAUCAUGAUGUCGUAGGUUCGAGUCCUACUGGCGGAG
This 93-nucleotide transfer RNA is filed under the name Streptococcus thermophilus. RNAcentral describes it as "tRNA-Asn". The stretch from base 21 to 86 matches the Rfam family "tRNA", at positions 7 to 64 of the family's 71-position model. Rfam says of the family: Transfer RNA (tRNA) molecules are approximately 80 nucleotides in length. Their secondary structure includes four short double-helical elements and three loops (D, anti-codon, and T loops). The record is from RNAcentral. Lineage: Bacteria; Bacillati; Bacillota; Bacilli; Lactobacillales; Streptococcaceae.